CAUUUCACACUUGUUUAGGCUUAAUUCUCAAAUCAACAACCAAACAAAAGGUUAGGUUUAAGUGCGUAACCUAUUAUGAGAUGGGCUGUUUAAGUUCCCAUUACAAUUCAGGUAUUGAAUACAAUACAUCUGAAUUGUUGUUUGGUGUAGAAGAAAAAUUCCUCCAGAUAUCUAUUCACAUUCAUCUUCCUCACCCAAUCAAGCAAUAAACCACCUAGCUCAUUCAAUUUCAGUAUUCACAAGGUAUAUCUCAAUCUCUGUGUGCUUAGAUUAUACUCCAUUUAAUUUGACAUUUCUUUAAAUAUAUAAUUUCUUUUUCGUCUUCUCACUCUAACCCCUAUCUUAAUUCAUUUUGUUUUUGUUGUUAAUGAUUUAUUGUGAUAUCUGAUUCUUUUAAGCUCUUGGUAGCAAAUCUCUCCUCUUACUCUCCCUCAAAGUAGGCCUUGUUCAAUUUCUUAUUUCUGUAAAAAUUGGCCUGCCCACUUGUCUAUAUAAUUAAAUGCAGAAUUAUUAAUCAUUCGUGGCUUUUUCUUAUAUCUAUUCUCUUAAAUUAUAGGAAUACAAAUACAAUAUUAAUUCGUUUAUGAUACUCGAUUCUAUUUUUUUUAUUAGUCUAUUAUAAUACUCAUUCACUAUUCUAUUCCAACAAUAAAUAAAUAAAUAAAUGAUCACCGAACCGAAUCAACGGUUGUGAUUCUCAAUCCAAUUUAAAUUAAAUAAUGAUUAAUUCAACCAAGCUCAAUCGAUUUUUUAUUCCAGUUCAAAAAAUUCACGAUCUAAUCAAUCUAGAUCCAACUAUGACCUACUAACAAACUUAUGUUUGUUUCUAUUCUUUAACACCAAAUUCAAUACUAAGAUUUAAGUUGAUGAACAAUUGCCAUAUGUAAACUUUGCCCAAUUAUAUUCCAAUUCUUAGUGUUAGUUUAAUGUUAAUUUAAUUCUAUUCUAUAGGUCAUAUAUUAUACAUAUAACCGUACUUUUUACCGGUAAACUCCUAAAAAAUUCCUAAACAAUCCUUUCCCAUCCCCUUCUUUACAAAUACCCAAAAAUGAUUCUUUUAAAAAAAAUUGAUUAAAUUAAGAAAUCAAAUUAACCACAAUUUUAAACCAAGAAAAAAACACCAAGCUCUGAUUGAUUGGAUCUUCCACCUGCCUUUCUUUUAACCAUGACAGAGAACAUUUAAAUUACUGAAAAUCAUGACAUUGAUUUUUUUUUUUUUUUUUUGUUGUAAAUUUUAGCUUAGUCUAAUACAACGCAUACAAAGAUAAAAUUAAACAGUGAUAACGUUCAUCCAUAAUUGCACGACCAACACUGACCUCAAACAAAUCCCCAACUCUUGUAAGGGGAAACACGUCAUGGUGUUUUUCUAUUACGACAGAUAAGGGGUAAAGUACAAUCAUCUCCUUGGUUUAUUAUUAUGACAAGCUAUCAUCAAUUCCUUAAAAUGUUCAAUGUCUUUCAUCAAAUUGAAAUUGGGUCUCAUAAAAUUUACUAACCUUAGAACAGGGGCAAGCUUGGUGGGAACCGCACAUGCAUCCAUUGUCUUUCAUACGUUGAUAAAUGAUUCCAUCCAAUCUCAUCCAGCAAUGACAGCUUCAUUUCGUAGAAUUUCUUCUUUGGUGGCUCUCCAUCAUCCUGAAUCAUGUCAUUUAGUACCUGCGACAAUAGCAGAUACUUGAGCUUAAGUUCCAGUACAGGGGAAACUAACCACAUUUGAAGUCAACUAAUGUUGUAUCGGAAAAUUACUUGUGAACAGCCUAAGGCAGUAACUAGCAUAAGCCUAAAAACAUAUUAAGGGAUAGAGAAUCAUUCCACAUUGUAUUCGAACAUUUUUUUUCCAAGCUGACAAGUGAUAUAAAGCAUUGACCAUCCAAGUUUCUUAC
Molecule: long non-coding RNA, 1883 nt
Filed under: Gossypium barbadense (sea-island cotton)
Lineage: Eukaryota; Viridiplantae; Streptophyta; Magnoliopsida; Malvales; Malvaceae
Description: long non-coding RNA (GBAR_LNC009826)
Source: RNAcentral